UAAGUAUAAUCUCCAGAAAUGUGUUUGUUGAUGGCCAACUUUCUGAUUUGUGAAAUUCAUACAAUCCUGAAUGUAGAUAGAUAAAUGCGCUGUGUAGCAUUCUGUGGAUACAAACCCUGACCGGCUAAAGUGUCACCUGAGUGUGAGGUGCAGCAGUUGGUCUUAUUUUACUCAUCAGUGAAUCAUAUUAGUUGAUGGCUAGCUUGAGCCUCCUCUUUCUACAAAGCUGUACUAGUGUCGGCUUGGGUGUGGGACUAUAUGUCUUUAUCUUAGUUGUAUAAUCUGUGGUAAGAAAUCUCAACGAUGACCCUGGAGACUGACAAUGUGUGUUUCCUUUUGUUUUCUAGAUUGUUAAAGAGACAUGAAAACAACUUAUCAGUGCUCGCCAUUAGUAACAUGGAAGCUUCCUCUACCCUUGCCAAAUGCCUUUAUGAACUUAAUUUUACAGUUCAGAGUAAAGAACAAGAAAAAGACUCAGAAAUGCUGUAGUGAAUCCUACCCCACUGACACAGUGGGGUCUCAAAGUCAAAUACAUUUCACAUACUGUUACUGAAGAAAGCACCAAGUCUUAAUGGAGCAGAGACCAUAGAAUGAAUUAUUUUGUGUCCUCCAUGAUGCUGAGAGGAAACUUCGUAUUCUGAUCUCUGAACGAAUCCCUUUCUUUUCUGUUAAAAAAAAAAAAUCUAAAAAGGAAAAAAAAAAAAAAAAAAACAAAAACUGCUGUGGGAUUGUCAACCAGCUUAUCUGCAGGAUGUCUCGGAUCUGGCCAAUCCUGAUGGAAACUGGUGUGAUCAGAAUUCUGUACCAUCCACAUUGGAAUAUACAUGGAAUAGUGUAAAACCUACGUGAGCAGAUGAAAUAGAAGCAUUAAAUAUUUUUAUCUAUAUCCAAAAAGGAGCACAUUUUUAUAUUUACAGAACCAUUUAAGCUGGUUUGAAUAACGACAGAGUUUGAGCACACCUAUCCCCCAGCUUCAGAGGGGCCACCAAUAUCUAGCUGUGGAUUGUGUGUUUUGUUUAGAAUCAGUAGCUUGGUUUUCUUACUUGAGCCAAUAUAUUUUCACUUAUUUAUUAUCAUAAAAAUUUACCAGUCUGAAUAGAUCUUGUAAAUAUUUGUGAAUAGAAUGAACACUGUUCAUACCACUGCAGCCACUGGAGAUACAUCCUGUGGUGUCCUAGAAGCAUUAUCGGUAGGCUCUAAAGUUUUCUAGACUUUGCUGUCAACUGUAAGUAAUUGUGAUAUAUUCUACGCAGUGGAUGGAUAUUCUUUAAAUCUGUGUAAAUACUUCUGCAAAGGUACUGAUGCUGUAAAGUCAAACAGUUUUGUGGAACUGUGAUUUUUUUUUUCCUCCUUUUUUGGUUUCCUUGGCCCCCACUUGGGUUUGGUGGGGUUUUGUUUUUGUUUUGUUUUGUAUUAUACACCUUGUAGAACUCAUUUUGCUGGCUGAAAGAGUAUGGAAUAAUAUAUCUCAUAUGUCAUUUUUGUAGAAGAGAAACUAUUUGGAUUUCCUUUUUGUUGGUUUGGUUUUCCCUAACACGUGUCCGCUGUACGCAUUCGUCACGUGCAAGCUCAGCUUGUGCAGGGUUUUUUGUAUUUGUAAAUUGGUUUAAAUACAUGGAAUUUUAUACAGGUUUUCUCCUGUGUUAUAUAUGCAUUAUGUGCAGGUAUGAUAUUUUCUUCACUACUUUUUCUAUCUUAAUAUAGUGUGGAAUUUUAUUGUAUUAUUCUUCCAUUCUUAAUACUGUACCACAUUCCUGCUCAGAAACUGCUCACUUCCUUAAAUUGUCUUUUCCCCCAAGCGUGAAAUGUAUCCACUUAUAACUGCCUAUUGCCUGUUCUAUUAGCAUCCAAAAAUGUGGAAGGCCUCCCAACCACCAUUUCUGCUGUGUCCUUAGGAUGUGCAGUAAAAAAAUAUAGACCUGACAGUUUAUGUUAUAGAAUGGCUUUAUUUACUUUGGUGACUGUUUAUAGUUUUUAAAUAAAAGACUGAACAUUUUCUUGAGUCCUUUAUUUCUGAGUAUGCUUAAGACAUUCUAAAAUUUAAAGUCUAGCUGAAGGCAAGGUCAAACGGUCACCUACUUACUUUAUACUUUGUGAUUGUAGAGAACAGAAAGGUGCAUCAUGUGAUAGGACACCAUGGUCACGGUAGGAAGGAGACCAGGAGACCAAAUGUUUUGUUUACAGUAGUAUGAGUAGUAGCCCCAGAGAGCGAGAGACAGUUAGGGCUCGGUUGCCUUACUGUGUGUCCCGCAUCUAUCUGACUGAGAGCUUUGUUUACCAUUCGACUCUAGGUUUCAGUUUAACUAAUUCAGGGGCAGCUUCUUGGCAAUGAGCUUCAGUCUGGACAGUUCAAAUAUCUUGAUUAAUUUAGUACCAAAAAGUAAUUUCUCCCCAGGGGUCUCUGUGCUCUCAGCUCUAACUGUAAGAAAUGUGUGGCGACACCCAGAACUUGGUAUUCUCAGGUUGGUGGCGUUUGACUUCUUCGCCUUAGCCUGGGGCUGCCCAGCAGACACCCUGAGUCCAGGUACCUUACUGUAUCCCUCAAAUAUCGCCAGACUAAAGGUUUCUAAGGGCAGAUAGUUGUAGAAAUUUAUAUUCACUGUGUUUAUCUAAAAAAAUUGAGGUUUUUGAAAUAAUUUUUGUAACAUCACUGUUUGCUUGUCCUCAAGGUACCUUUUUCCUUCCAAAGCAGGAAAUUACCAUGGUGGUUAGCCUUUAGUAGCAGAAACGACAGGCUUAAGAAAGUGGCUUCCAUAGUCACCAUCCUGUCACCUCACUGAAUUGCAUCCUGUAGAUGUAGAUUUUUGUGUUAAAAUGUAUAAAUGUGUCUUUAGUGCUUUUAAGCAAUGGUCUCAGCAGAAUUUUCUAAAUGUAUCUGACCUGACGAAACCAAUUUCUAGCUCCCCUUAGGCUUCCCCUCCGGCAGCUUUACCUGACUAAUGGAUAAGACUUGGUGGGUAACGCGGUUGAAGUGCUCUUGCAGUCCAGGGCCUGCAGAACCCUCGCAGUCACGAAAAGGUGCUCCUUGCUAGACAGAAACUUGCUGACUUCCAGUAUUGUUAUUUUUGUCUAAAGUUCUGUAAAUACAAGCUUUAAUGUUAUCUUUGAGAGAUCUAUGUAAAUAAUAGUCAAGAACAUAGAGACUGUACAAUUCUGUGUUAUAUAUGUGCCUAGUGCUCUGUUGGCACUUAAUAAAUUUUAAGUAACAAAACUGAUGAUCAUAUAGUGAAGGCAUAUUUUUCUUCCGACUUGAGACAGGAUAUGACUAUAUAUUAAUGAGACUCAAUAAACCAAGCCACACAUGAAAACUUGUCUCAUUACUUUAUAGCCAUGCCAUGUAUGUUUUUUAAACUAUAAAAUGACAAUAAAACUGAUUUUUGAAAUG
This 3385-nucleotide long non-coding RNA is filed under the name Mus musculus (house mouse). Its description in RNAcentral is "long non-coding RNA chr15:96401605-96404990". Lineage: Eukaryota; Metazoa; Chordata; Mammalia; Rodentia; Muridae. The record is from RNAcentral.